GCGGCGGACGGGUGAGUAACGCGUAGGAAUCUGCCUGAUAGUGGGGGAUAACUCGGGGAAACUCGAGCUAAUACCGCAUACGCCCCAUGGGGGAAAGCGGGGGACCGCAAGGCCUCGCGCUAUUGGAUGAGCCCGCGCCCGAUUAGCUUGUUGGUGGGGUAAAAGCCUACCAAGGCGACGAUCGGUAGCUGGUCUGAGAGGACGAUCAGUCACACUGGAACUGAGACACGGUCCAGACUCCUACGGGAGGCAGCAGUGGGGAAUAUUGGACAAUGGGCGAAAGCCUGAUCCAGCCAUGCCGCGUGUGUGAAGAAGGUCUUCGGAUUGUAAAGCACUUUAAGUUGGGAGGAAGGGCAUUAACCUAAUACGUUAGUGUUUUGACGUUACCGACAGAAUAAGCACCGGCUAACUUCGUGCCAGCAGCCGCGGUAAUACGAAGGGUGCAAGCGUUAAUCGGAAUUACUGGGCGUAAAGCGCGCGUAGGUGGUUUGUUAAGUUGAAUGUGAAAGCCCCGGGCUCAACCUGGGAACUGCAUCCAAAACUGGCAAGCUAGAGUAUGGCAGAGGGUGGUGGAAUUUCCUGUGUAGCGGUGAAAUGCGUAGAUAUAGGAAGGAACACCAGUGGCGAAGGCGACCACCUGGGCUAAUACUGACACUGAGGUGCGAAAGCGUGGGGAGCAAACAGGAUUAGAUACCCUGGUAGUCCACGCCGUAAACGAUGUCGACUAGCCGUUGGGGAUCCUUGAGAUCUUAGUGGCGCAGCUAACGCAUUUAAAGUCGACCGCCUGGGGAGUACGGCCGCAAGGUUAAAACUCAAAUUGAAUUGACGGGGGCCCGCACAAGCGGGUGGAGCAUGUGGGUUUUAAUUUCGA
This 871-nucleotide ribosomal RNA is filed under the name uncultured bacterium. RNAcentral's name for it is "bacterial SSU rRNA". It matches the Rfam family "Bacterial small subunit ribosomal RNA", at positions 95 to 954 of the family's 1533-position model. The record is from RNAcentral.